Molecule: non-coding RNA, 643 nt
Filed under: Pan troglodytes (chimpanzee)
Lineage: Eukaryota; Metazoa; Chordata; Mammalia; Primates; Hominidae
Source: RNAcentral
AGUAGUAGAACCGACCUCGUAGGCUCAUCGGGAGGUCCUGAUGGGAGAACCCAUGCAACUUGCCACCAUAGAGCCAGGCCCGCGGCGAUUGGCUCCUGGUGGGUAUUAAAGACGAGUCGGGAAAGAAGAGCAGGUUGAUAGACUGGAUGCUGCUAUGGUAAUCUGCCUCAGGAAAAUGCCGGACUGUUGUUUGCAAGCUGGUUAAGUGAGCAAAUCUUGGGAAGAUUUCAAGUUUUUAUCUUCAGGAAACUCCCAAGCAUUCUGGAAGCUCUGCAUGUGAGUAAGAACCACUGCUGUUGCUGUUGCUGUAGCUGCCUGAAUCUAUGGCAAAAAGCCAGGAAAAAAAAAUUGCUUCACACCAUGUGCACCGACUCCCCUGGAGCUGGCACCGCCAGGGCGUCUGCAGAGCUAUGUCUGACAGUCCUGCCAUUUCCUAACUUCUCCUGUGUGGUCAUCCACCUACCUUUGGGAACCUCCAGUCAUUACUCACAGAGUUGGUCUCAUCCUGGGAACUCUCUCUUGCCUCUCCCAGUGGUUCAUUCUCCAAGUCUGAGUUAUUUGGUCAAAAAAACCCCCAAAUGCUUCAGACAACUCUCGCAAACUUGUCAUAGCUUUUGGUAUUCCAGGCCACAGAAGAGCCCAG